GCCUACUGCUUGCAGAGGUGUGUGUCACACAUUGCCAUGUGCCGACUCUGGAAAAGCCAGGACUUGUCUAUUGUUUGGCUGAUGGACAGAACAGACUGUGGCCAUGUUAUGGUCUGGCAAUAAGAAGAAUGAAACACUCACACUUGACAAGUUCAGGACCAGGUAAUGAAUGGCGGGCGGCCUCAGGGCACUCGAUCUAUAUGAACCCAUCUACAUGACUCCAUGACAGGCUCCAGGCUCACUGACAGAAAAUCAGGUUUGUGGGUACAAGAGACUUGGGGGAAACUGCAAAGGGGCCAUGGCUUCUCUUGUUGUUUGGUUGGUUUGUGUGGAGGUCAGAGGACAGCUUUCAGGAGUCGGUUCUCUCUUCCAGUUAUGUGGGUCCCAGGGUUAAACUUGGGCUGUAAA
This 408-nucleotide long non-coding RNA is filed under the name Mus musculus (house mouse). RNAcentral's name for it is "predicted gene, 56666". Lineage: Eukaryota; Metazoa; Chordata; Mammalia; Rodentia; Muridae. The record is from RNAcentral.